Oreochromis aureus is the source of this 1515-nucleotide long non-coding RNA. RefSeq lists it as uncharacterized. NCBI's taxonomy places the organism in Eukaryota, Metazoa, Chordata, Actinopteri, Cichliformes, Cichlidae. The transcript is spliced from 3 exons. The record is from RefSeq and is a predicted model, not a curated record.
AUCAGUGAUGAGGAGAGCAGGAGCCCCGGGACACUACAGAAUGAUCUUCUAUAGCUGAAUCAGCACCGUGAAGCUCAAAGCAAACCACUGGAUGAAGGUGGGAUUUUCCUGUGUAUCCUGAAUUUAGGUCAUCUCUCCUGUUCCUGGAAACUACUGUCACAAACUCCUGUUACAAAGAUGAGACAAAAUUUUAAAUGUAUUUUUCUAUUAAAGGAUGCUGUCUGUUGGGUUUAUCUAGGCACAAACCCCGCUGGAACACGAAACCAAUAACUGCACGACAAAACAAAACAAGACAGAGCACUUUGUCUUUGUGGCUCGCGAGGGAAGUCAGCCAAAGUUGAGGAAAAGAUUCCUUCACCUGAACUCAGCCCACUUCCACUGAUUCCUUCGCUACAGCCCUUUUUAUUGUCAGCAAGCAAUCAUUCAUGAAUAUGGAAUUACAAAUACACGUGACAUUCUUAAGCAGGCAUCUCUGAACAACAUCAGUGUCUGUAUUCUGUGUGUGUGGGUGUGUGUAGGUGCAUGUGUGUGUGUGUGUGUGUGUGUGUGUUUCCAGCCAUAUGUAACCCAGUUCCUAAAAUCAUCUCAAACAAAAGAGAAGAAAAAGUAAAACAUUUUAUGUUCAUUGUUCCUGUUCUUACUGUCCUUGUUUAAUGAAAGUGAAACGAGAUCAAAAUAUUUAUUUAAACAUGGAAGGGACGCAGAUUAUAUAUGAUAUGCUCUGGUCAAACAAAAGUUAAGUUUCUCCGAGGGUUGAUGAGCUCUGAUGAGAGCCUAUUGUUUUACUCCACUCCUCGCAUGUCAACCAAUCGGUGAAGCUCUAGGCAGCUCUUGUCCCUCCUUAGUGCCAGCUCCCAAGUUUUCAGUCUCUUGCUUCUACAGCCGAACAGAGCAGGCGGACUAAAACUUUGCUAUCGAGGGCAGAGCGAAACCGGAAGGUUUACUGAGCUGUGGCUUCACGUAAACGCUGAGCAUCCACUCGACGGCGGUCAGGUUUUUUAUAUGGGAUGAAUCCAAAGAUCAGGUCAGCGAUUCCAGAACCCAGAGUGUUCCAGUGUUCACUGGAUGGCGAGCCAACCCAAGAUCCUAGGAGACAAUAUACAUACACACGCACACUCAUUUGCACAUUGAUGGACUACAAUCCUCUACUGUACAAGUAGUACGGUAGGACAGACAAUCACACACACACUCCUCAUUGGACGGACUCUAAUGCGAUACGCCCGUUUGUCAUGGGCCCCACCGGUACCAUUUGGACUUAAAAGACUAAUACUUUUACUUGUGCACAAUUUUAUUUUAUUCUAUUGUUUUGCUACUUUGGGGGAAAUUUUUAUACUUGAAGUUCUGUUAAACCUGUUGUAAUUCAGUGUUGGUUACAAAAUUCUUUUAAAAGGCUUAACAUCACUAAAGUACUUUAAAGCCACACAACUGUGUUUGUGUGGUUUCUCUACCAUUCAUGUACCAGAGCUCUAAGAGUCGUUCUUAAUCUUCUGAUACUAGCCCAAAUUACUCAUUACC